AAUAUUGGACAAUGGGGGCAACCCUGAUCCAGCCAUGCCGCGUGUGUGAAGAAGGUCUUCGGAUUGUACAGCACUUUAAGUUGGGAGGAAGGGCUUUAGGCUAAUACCCUGAAGUUUUGACGUUACCAACAGAAUAAGCACCGUCUAACUCUGUUCCAGCAGCCGCGGUAAUACAGAGGGUGGAAGGGUUAAUCGGAAUUACUGGGCGUAAAGCGCGCGUAGGUGGUUCAGUAAGAUGGGUGUGAAAUCCCCGGGCUUAAACUGGGAACUGCUUUCAGAACUGCUGAGCUAGAGUACGGUAGAGGGUAGUGGAAUUUCCUGUGUAGCGGUGAAAUGCGUAGAUAAAGGAAGGAAAACCAGUGGCGAAGGCGACUACCUGGACUGAUACUGACACUGAGGUGCGAAAGCGUGGGGAGCAAACAG
This 423-nucleotide ribosomal RNA is filed under the name uncultured bacterium. RNAcentral's name for it is "partial 16S ribosomal RNA". It matches the Rfam family "Bacterial small subunit ribosomal RNA", at positions 360 to 775 of the family's 1533-position model. The record is from RNAcentral.